RNAcentral lists this long non-coding RNA (3885 nucleotides) under Lynx pardinus (Iberian lynx). Lineage: Eukaryota; Metazoa; Chordata; Mammalia; Carnivora; Felidae. The record is from RNAcentral.
CGGGAGUGUUUAUACAGUCACAAAGUAGCAGGGAACGCAGCUCUGAGAUGCUCCAGAUGCAGGACAAAACUACUUUUCUCAUGCUCUGUACCAGGUUCUGGCCAGUGACACCACUUCCUUAAUGUGCUGUCAGUGAUUUUGCCUUUUUCUGGCCCCAGUGUCUUGUACAACAGCGAGAAGAAGAUAUACAGGAGACCGUGUCCUCCAUAAACGCGUGGUGGCCUUCCAUUGUGUUUGCACUGCUCAUCAGAACUUACAAAGCAUUUCGGAGAUGGUGUCACCUUUGACCAUCACCAUAACGUGGCUAGGUGGGUAUUAUUGUGCCGGUUUUAUGGUGAGUGAACCAAAGAUCAAAGUUAAGACACUUUUAUCAAGGUCAUGCAGGAGAUGAGGCUGGGACCGAGCCCUCUGGAAGGAACAUGGUUGUUUUGUUUUUCUGGGCUGUUUCUGGACUAAAGCUUUUAUUUUUAUUUCUUAAAUAAAUUCUGAAAUUAUAAAGGAUAAAGGAAAAAUGUGUGGAAUGAGUUUACAGUGAAGCAUUUUAAACUUAUUUUUUUUUUAAAUGUCUUAUUUAUUCUUGAGAGAGAGAGAGAGAGAGAACAGGAGCAGGUGAGCAGCAGAGUGAGAGAGGGACACAGAAUCUGAAGCAGGCUCCAGGCUCUGAGCUGUCAGCACAGAGCCCAAUACAGGGCUUGAACUCAUAGAGUAUGAGAUCAUGACCUGAGUCGAAGUCGGACCCUUAACCAACUGAGCCACCCAAGCACCCCUACAGUGAAGCAUUUUAAAGGAACAAGGCAAUAGUAGACCUUCUCUUCCUUCUUGUACCUCCUAACUGGAAACGAAGAUGCCCUUUGUCUUCUCAUGGAGGGAUGGGUCUUAUUAGGAUGAUCCCUAUAUUAACAGUAGAAAUAGAGUCAAUGUGUUGAUUCCAGGGUAAAACAAGUGUUCUUUGUCUGGGUGCAGGGAUAGAAUUCAGCAGCCCAUGCACUUGGAUGAAGAAAAAAUACUGUUUUUUUUUUUUAAAGAUUAAAAAUAUUUUAAGUGUAUUUAUUUAUUUUGACAGAGACAGAAACAGCAUGAGUGGGGGACUGGCAGAGAGAGAGGGAGACAGGGAAUCCCAAGCAGGCUUGAACUCUCAGCAUGGAGCCUCAUGUGGGGCUCAAACUCACAAACCACGAGAUCGUGACCUGAGCUGAAACCAAGAGUCAGAUGCUUAACCAACUGAGCCUCCCAGGCACCCCUGAAGAAAAAAUAUUUUUUUAAAAAUUUCUUGAGCCUCUAGUAGUCUCCACAAUUAUAAAUGUAGAUUCUGAAUCACAAUUAUUAACUGUUCCUGUGAAUCUGCCACCAGGAGAAAUCAGACUUGUUCCUAUCACAUUAGGACUGUUGCAAAUAUCUUGAAAUAUCCUUUAUACUCAUCACUACUUCAAAAUAUGGUAGCUAUGAGACCUGCAGCUGGAUCUUUUUAUUUAAUGUGUUAAUAAAGACACAUAUUAUUUUUAUUAUGAAGUUUAGAAAGCCAUUUUGAUAAUUGUAUUUCUAGAACAGAGGGUUGCUGGAGGGGAGCUAGGCAGGGAGAUGGGCUAAAUGGGUGAUGGACAUUAAGGAGGGCACUUGUGAUGAGCUCUGGGUAUCAUAUGUCAGUGAUGAAUCCCUAAAUUCUACUCCUGAAACUAAUAUUACACUAUAUGUUAAUUAACUAGAAUUUAAAUAAAAACUUGAAACAAAAAAAAAGAAAAAUUUUUGAAUCUUGAGCAAAACAUAAACAUGUGGAUUAUCUAUUUUCAGUGUAAUCAUAUGUAUUUUAUUUUAUGCAUUUAGAAACAGUACUCUGAGAAGGGGUAUAGGUAUCACCAUGUUGUCACAGGGGUGCGUGGUACAAGUACAAGUUUUAAAAACUUGCUUUGAAGGAACAAAAAAAUCUUAAAUUAUUCCCAGGCAACAAAAUUUUCAAAAAAUUUUUGGAGGAAGGAACUAAGUUGAGGCACCAAUUCCUCAGUCUCAUUGCAUUUUCUAUCUCUACUUGGCACACUGAAUUCCUAAAAAACGUGUCAAUUUGUGCCAUAAACAUUCGUAGAGAAUGAUGCUCCUUUGUCUUCAUGGAGGAAUGAACGGACUGCUAACACACAUUGAGUUUGGUUCAUGGGACACUUCCCAAAAGGAGAGAUGGUUUAAGAUGGAGAGUAAAGCAGAAGGGGGGGAAUACCUGCAUCAGGGAAUUAGCCGAGGACAAAAUCUUACAUGAUAGACCUUCUGCACUGAGUCUGAAAACCACAUUUCUCUUCAUGUGGGAAAGCAUGUCAUGACCUAACCUUUCUGUGUCCUCUCAACCAGAGGUAAUCAAAUUAUGCAUGAAAUAAUUUAAUAAUUUUAUUUUCAGUUGGCAAGCACUAAAUUUCAUGUUAAAUCUGUCCACAUAUGGGAAGAUAUUUGUGGCAGUAACAUCUCCUAUUAUGUGCUAUUCUCAGAAUCUAUUAUAUUACAAUUCUUAACCUAGGUAUGGAAGUGAAAAGGUCUAAGCCUCCGACUAAUAUAAUUUGAUGAUUCAUAUAUACCGGGAGGAAUUCAGGACUUCCAUAUGAUUUUUCUGAUUAAACCCUCCUGAUAGUGUAGUCUUUUACUUUGCUACUGGAAAUCAUUUCGCUUGGCUUGCUAUUUCUUCUGACAUAUGUUCCAACUGAGCAGAAUCUUUGAGAAAUUAGAUAACCAUUAAGGACAGUAUGUAGAGCAUAAUGUGUAGAAAGAGCAAUAGGCAGAACCAAUAUGUGGUUGCUUCCUUUAUAGCUUAUAUAUUUUUUAAAUUUUUUAAUGUUUAUUUAUUUUUGAGAGAGAUAGACAGAGCGUGAGGGGAGGGGGAGGGGCAGAGAGAGAGGAAGACACAGAAUCUGAAGCAGGCUCCAGGUUCCGGGCUGUCAGCGCAGAGCCUGACGUGGGGCUCGAACCCACGAACCGUGAGAUCAUGACCUGAGCCAAAGUCAGACACUCAACCGACUGAGCCACCCAGGCGCCCCUAUAGCUUAUAUUUUUAUGAUGCAAACUCUAUGGUUCAUAAAUAGACCAUAUUUUUCAUAUCCCCAAAGAUUUGCCCUGGUUCCUCUCCCAGGAACGUUAUUCUGCUCUCAUUUACCCUCUGCAAACUCAAGAUCUGCUAAGUCAUCAUUUCUUGCAAAAACUUACCCUGAUCCUUCCUCUCAUUCCAGGUUGGGUUACCUGCCCCUCUGUACCAUUAAAGUCCUCUGUCCUUCUAGAGACAUGAACUGUUGUCACUUCCCCCUACCCAUACCUUCCACUCUGUGCUCAACACUAUGAACAUCUGGAGGACUGGAAUCCCACCUUUGAGUUAUAGGCAAAUAUUAGGCACUCAAUAAUUUUUUGUAGAAUUAAUUGAAAUAAUAAGUUAAUGUAGCCAACAAAUAAGACUAAUGAGACAGGAAACUUGAAGACUGAAGGGUGGAUAGGUAAGGGUGGAGAGGCAAGUCAGUCCUAGGCAGUCUCAUUUCCAAGAUGCCAAUAGAAGCGUGUGUGUGUGCGUGUGUGUGUGUGUGUGUGUGUGUGCGUGUGUGUGGUGUAUGCACAUAUGCACAGGCAUCCAUGUUUGCAUGGGAGUAGUGGUAGUACAGGGGAGGAGAGAUUUAUACUUGACUCUAGAUACUUCCAAUGUAGCCAUACAAAUGUCACACUGCCACUUUCCGACGUGCAAAUGCUACAUUUCUCUAAAUCAGAGAAGUUGGUUCUCUACUUCCACCCACGUGACUGGCAGAAAAACUCAACCUCAGUCGUGUUUGGGAAUUCUCUCUCCUCCUCCAGGGGUUCAUGCAAGGAUCUCCUGGUAUUUGAGAUGCCAUACUCUGCAGAGUCCUGAUCGCCUCCUCCGUUUGCUGUGAC